RNAcentral lists this ribosomal RNA (530 nucleotides) under Actinomadura luteofluorescens. RNAcentral's name for it is "bacterial SSU rRNA". It matches the Rfam family "Bacterial small subunit ribosomal RNA", at positions 31 to 576 of the family's 1533-position model. Lineage: Bacteria; Bacillati; Actinomycetota; Actinomycetes; Streptosporangiales; Thermomonosporaceae. The record is from RNAcentral.
GAACGCUGGCGGCGUGCUUAACACAUGCAAGUCGAGCGGAAAGGCCCCUUCGGGGGUACUCGAGCGGCGAACGGGUGAGUAACACGUGAGCAACCUGCCCCUGACUCUGGGAUAAGCCCGGGAAACUGGGUCUAAUACCGGAUAUGACCACUGGUCGCAUGAUCGUGUGGUGGAAAGUUUUUCGGUUGGGGAUGGGCUCGCGGCCUAUCAGCUUGUUGGUGGGGUGAUGGCCUACCAAGGCGACGACGGGUAACCGGCCUGAGAGGGCGACCGGUCACACUGGGACUGAGACACGGCCCAGACUCCUACGGGAGGCAGCAGUGGGGAAUAUUGCGCAAUGGGCGGAAGCCUGACGCAGCGACGCCGCGUGAGGGAUGACGGCCUUCGGGUUGUAAACCUCUUUCAGCAGGGACGAAGCUAACGUGACGGUACCUGCAGAAGAAGCGCCGGCUAACUACGUGCCAGCAGCCGCGGUAAUACGUAGGGCGCAAGCGUUGUCCGGAAUUAUUGGGCGUAAAGAGCUCGUAGGC